Pelobates cultripes (western spadefoot toad) is the source of this 290-nucleotide non-coding RNA. The record is from the annotation of a GenBank genome assembly. NCBI's taxonomy places the organism in Eukaryota, Metazoa, Chordata, Amphibia, Anura, Pelobatidae.
GGGGGCGGAGUUUGCCUGCAAACCCGAUAAGACACCAUUUCUGGGAGCUCCUGAAUAUCUAUAAACCUGAAGCCCAUACAGCCCUACGAAGUGGCUAGAACGCAUCUACAGAGCCCGCCGUCAAUUAGAUGCCUUUCUUUCUUAAACAGACCAAACAGAAGUGAAGGUCUGGGGCCUACUUCUCUAUAACACCUCGAGACCUGGAGACGCUCAUAGGAGGCCAGGCCACUACAAGAGGGACCACAGAACCUCCACCUCAAACCCCUACUGUCUCCACCCACAUUCCUGCC